Molecule: small RNA, 120 nt
Filed under: Marmota monax (woodchuck)
Lineage: Eukaryota; Metazoa; Chordata; Mammalia; Rodentia; Sciuridae
Source: RNAcentral
GCCUGGCGCGUUGGCGCACGCCUGUAAUCACAGCGGCGCGGGAGGCUGAGGCAGGAGGAUCGCAAGUUCACCACCUCAACUUAGCGAGGCCCUAAGCAACUUAGCGAGACCCUGUCUUUA